CGGAGGAUCCAAGCGUUAUCCGGAAUCAGUUGGGUUUAAAGGGUCCGUAGGCGGUUUAGUAAGUCAGUGGUGAAAGCCCAUCGCUCAACGGUGGAACGGCCAUUGAUACUGCUAGACUUGAAUUAUUAGGAAGUAACUAGAAUAUGUAGUGUAGCGGUGAAAUGCUUAGAGAUUACAUGGAAUACCAAUUGCGAAGGCAGGUUACUACUAAUGGAUUGACGCUGAUGGACGAAAGCGUGGGUAGCGAACAGGAUUAGAUACCCUGGUAGUCCACGCCGUAAACGAUGGAUACUAGCUGUUGGGAGCGAUCUCAGUGGCUAAGCGAAAGUGAUAAGUAUCCCACCUGGGGAGUACGUUCGCAAGAAUG
This 367-nucleotide ribosomal RNA is filed under the name uncultured organism. RNAcentral describes it as "bacterial SSU rRNA". It matches the Rfam family "Bacterial small subunit ribosomal RNA", at positions 526 to 896 of the family's 1533-position model. The record is from RNAcentral.